RNAcentral lists this transfer RNA (73 nucleotides) under Plectrocnemia tsukuiensis. RNAcentral describes it as "tRNA-Asn". Lineage: Eukaryota; Metazoa; Arthropoda; Insecta; Trichoptera; Polycentropodidae. The record is from RNAcentral.
UUAAUUGAAACCAAAACAUAAAGAGGUAUAUCACUGUUAAUGAUUGUAAUGAUAAAUUAUCUAUCCAAUUAAA